Molecule: ribosomal RNA, 253 nt
Filed under: uncultured bacterium
Lineage: Bacteria
Description: partial 16S ribosomal RNA
Rfam family: Bacterial small subunit ribosomal RNA
Source: RNAcentral
GACGAACCGUGCGAACGUUGUUCGGAAUCACUGGGCUUAAAGGGCGCGUAGGCGGGCUAUCAAGUCAGGGGUGAAAGCCCACGGCCCAACCGUGGAGGUGCCUUUGAUACUGGUAGUCUGGAGGGAGGUAGGGGCGUGCGGAACUUCCGGUGGAGCGGUGAAAUGCGUAGAUAUCGGAAGGAACACCGAUGGCGAAAGCAGCGCGCUGGACCUCUUCUGACGCUGAGGCGCGAAAGCCAGGGGAGCAAACGGG